AGAAAACCACAAAGAGCUGUUCCAUUGUGUACUUCUGCUAGCCCGUUCUUCUCCGGAUGAACUGCUAGCAUUUCUACACGAGCAGCUGGAGAUUGAGCAUGAGGCUGUUCGUGUGGCGUCUUUAGAUCUUCUGAGAGCUAUUGUUGGUGCUGACUUGCCUGAGACAAGAGUUAAAAAGCUUCUGAUUGUGACGGCAGUGAAAUCCACUCUCAGUGAUCAGAAUGCUA
This is a long non-coding RNA of Dermochelys coriacea (leatherback sea turtle), 227 nucleotides long. RefSeq lists it as uncharacterized. The record is from RefSeq and is a predicted model, not a curated record. NCBI's taxonomy places the organism in Eukaryota, Metazoa, Chordata, Testudines, Dermochelyidae. The transcript is spliced from 3 exons.